CCAGAGCUGUUAAUAAUCGAUUAAUAAUCUUAAUCAUUAAUAAUUUGAUUAAAGUAUUUUCAUAACUUGAUUAACUGAUUAAAUUAAGAUUAAAUGCUAUUUCCUUUUUAAUUAAUGAUUAAAAUUAAAUUUAAUCAAAAUUUAAUCAUGAUUAAAGGGAAUUAAUUUAGUUUUAAGAAUUAUUUUACAGAUUAAAAAAAUUUAAUCAAAAAUUUAGUUUGAUUAAAAAUUUUGAUUAAUUUGGAUUAAAGUGGAUUAAAUGCCAAUUAAUAUUGCAUUAAUUAAAAAAUAAUAGUUUAUUAAAUUAUUUCAUGUGUUAUUAUAUCUUAUAUUAUGAGUCUAAGCAAUAUUAAUAAUAUUUAGCAACUCUACUGUUGUUUGUUUACUAGUAGUAAACAUAUGUUCGCCAAUGGAUAUUGCUUAUUUAUACACGUGUGCUUGCGAGUGUUUUUUUUUUGUUUUGUUUUUUGUUUUGUUGAGGAAACGCAUUUUGUAUUAAGUCUUGUUUGAUUGUUUAAAGACAUUUUAUCAUCGACUGUUGACUUUCAUAAUUAAGUACACAAUGGAUGAUGAGGAACUGUUUAGUGGUGAUGACUUCUCAAGUGACGACAUUUUUAAGGAUGUUACUUAUACCCCCCCUAGGAAAACUUCGAAGCGUAAAGUAUUUGAAGAUGGUCCGCCUGUGAAGAAAGCUUGUAUAGAAGCCGCGUACUUGAAUAAGACAAUUUUCCAGCCAAAUUUCUACGUUGAUAUCGAAAAAGUUUGUAUUGUUCUGAUUUAUUUAUGUAUGUACUGGUUCAGUAAAAGGCGUGAGUGUAAGUAGUUCCUUGAUUUGUGUUAUUUGGCUAUACUAACUCCCAAUGUCAAACUGAAUUGGCUUUCCGUUCUGAAAAGGACUUCUCCCAAUGUGACCACUGAAAUUAUCAUCACACGAGCUUUAAAAUGCAUUUUAAAAUUCGCUGUUGCUGAAAAACUAGUUCCAACAAAGCAGAGUUGUUCUAACCAUGAGGAUGAAAUCGCCUUUUUUGAUUUGGAAGAGAUUAAUGCAGACGAGGAAACGACAACUUCACAGAGCUUGGGCUAUAGUAAAGUAGAGCUUGAAAGCAUUAUCAGGGAGCAGUUGUACUCAUAUCUUGCGGACCCAAUAAAAAAUUGCGCAGUAUGGCAGAAGUAUGACUUGUUAAAACAAGCUUCGCUCUAUUUUAAUACGCCUCUGACAUCCUCAGCGCCUGUGGAGAGAUUGUUCUCUUUCGCAGGAAUUAUCAAUAGCGCCAGAAGAAAUGCUUUGAACGAUUUUUCAUUUGAAAAAUUAGUAUUGUUAAAAGCAAAUAAUUGAAUCUUUUUUAUCUUUAUGGUUGAAAUUAUUGAAAUAAUGUUAAAUUUGUUUGUUUAAAUUUUUGUUGAAUUAUUGUAAUGACUAUAUUUUGUUAUUAUUUAUUUAUUUAUUGUAUUAUUAAAUUCACCAUAUGAUUUAUAAAUAACAAUAAAUUUAAAAAUUAAUGGAAUAUUAAUUGCCAUUUAAUCCACUUUAAUCCAAAUUAAUCAAAAUUUUUAAUCUAACUAAGUUUUUGAUUAAAUUUUUUUAAUCUGUAAAUAAAUUUUUCAAACUAAAUUAAUUCC
This is a long non-coding RNA of Bactrocera dorsalis (oriental fruit fly), 1620 nucleotides long. RefSeq lists it as uncharacterized. The transcript has 3 exons. Lineage: Eukaryota; Metazoa; Arthropoda; Insecta; Diptera; Tephritidae. The record is from RefSeq and is a predicted model, not a curated record.